This is a long non-coding RNA of Drosophila virilis, 1155 nucleotides long. RefSeq lists it as uncharacterized. The record is from RefSeq and is a predicted model, not a curated record. Lineage: Eukaryota; Metazoa; Arthropoda; Insecta; Diptera; Drosophilidae.
CUCUUGCCCCACUCUUCAAAAAGCUCAUAUUAGGAAGUAAAAACUUGCGACUGCGCAUAUUAACUUAUUUGAAUGAUAUCCGAAAGAGCAUGAAACAGAGAAGUUCUUCAAUUUCAGGACAUUUAUUUUGAAAAUCUAGAAACGUGUCUGCUUCGCCAAAAAGGACAGUCGAACUAGUCUUUCAGACUCUGCAAAUCGUUGGCAUUGUGGCAAAUGUACCUGGAAGGUGCGGACAUUUGUCAAAGGCAGAGUCGACAUCGAACCAACCUCCGGCAACCUGCGGCGUGGCAAGAGAAUCUUCGGACUCGAACUCGGACCCAAAUUCUGCUAGGUAUGUACAUACAUAUAUGUAUGUACGUGUGUAUGCAGGGCAACACAGCGGGAACUGAAACGAACCUCGAAAAUGCGCUUGCUGUGCGCUCCUCUACGAUCUCAUUAUGUGUUUUCCCUUUUGUAAUUUAACGUCUUAUUCAAGUCAUUCCAAGAUCUUUUUACUCUAUGAAAAACACCAGACCCAGCUCCGUGCUGCCUGCCUGUUGCCUGCCUGUUGCCUGCCUGCCUGCCUGUGAUUAUGAAUACAAAGCAUUCACAUUCACACUCACACUUGUGCGCAUUCGUCUUAUUUAACGAGGGAACUUCGUCGUUUCUCGGAAACAACAUAAAACCAGAUAUGUGUAUACGUAAGUUUUUUGGUUUUGCAUCUGCAUUUGAGUCCCCGCACAGCAUCAUCCGGCGACAGUCCAAGACGAUGUAACAUGCAGGAACACGUCGCGAUCUAGAGAGCUUCGACAACUCCUUUGACGGCUCCUGCGCUUAAAUACAUACAUACAUAUGUACAUCAAAAAUAAUUUAGCAGCCUUUCCUUGAAAAUAUACUGACAAUCGAAGGAGUCCGAAUGACUUUAUUUUCAAUACGACUUCUCGAGCAUGGGUCUGGGCCGAUGUUAAGGGCUUAAUUAGUCAGCAAAUCGAAGCCCCAAACGAAGUAGUCAACGGAGUCUGAUGCGUCGUACUCUCGCUCUCAAAUCCAGUUUUAGUUGUUUUUUUUAUUACAUACCUAAAUACUUCAUUUCCACAUGUGCCUACAUAUGUACAUACAUACAUACAUACAGUUCUUACAAAAGUAUAAGCAUGCAUGUGUAUGCAUGUAUGUGUA